This 253-nucleotide ribosomal RNA is filed under the name uncultured bacterium. RNAcentral describes it as "partial 16S ribosomal RNA". It matches the Rfam family "Bacterial small subunit ribosomal RNA", at positions 524 to 776 of the family's 1533-position model. The record is from RNAcentral.
UACGUAGGUGGCAAGCGUUGUCCGGAUUUACUGGGCGUAAAGGGCGUGCAGGCGGUCUGUUAAGUUCAGGGUGAAAGCUCCCGGCUCAACUGGGGAGGGUCAUUCGAUACUGAUCGACUCGAAGGCAGGAGAGGGAAGUGGAAUUCCCGGUGUAGUGGUGAAAUGCGUAGAUAUCGGGAGGAACACCAGUGGCGAAGGCGACUUCCUGGCCUGUUCUUGACGCUGAGGCGCGAAAGCUAGGGGAGCAAACGGG